CCUACGGGAGGCAGCAGUGAGGAAUAUUGGUCAAUGGCCGAAAGCCUGAACCAGCCAAGCCGCGUGAAGGACGACGGUCCUAAGCAUUGUAAACCUCUUUUGUCAAGGGACAAAAUCAGGCUCGUGUGCCGGACCGAGGGUACCUGAAGAAAAAGCAUCGGCUAACUCCGUGCCACCAGCCGCGGUAAUACGGAGGAUGCGAGCGUUAUCCGGAUUUAUUGGGUUUAAAGGGUGCGUAGGCGGUCUGUUAAGUCAGCGGUAAAAUUCCGGGGCUCAACCCCGUCGAGCCGUUGAAACUGGCAGUCUUGAGGUGUCGAGAAGUACGCGGAAUGCGCGGUGUAGCGGUGAAAUGCAUAGAUAUUGCGCAGAACUCCGAUUGCGAAGGCAGCAUACCGGCGGCGGACUGACGCUGAGGCACGAAAGCGUGGGGAUCGAACAGGAUUAGAUACCCGAGUAGUC
Molecule: ribosomal RNA, 459 nt
Filed under: uncultured bacterium
Lineage: Bacteria
Description: partial 16S ribosomal RNA
Rfam family: Bacterial small subunit ribosomal RNA
Source: RNAcentral